This 103-nucleotide small RNA is filed under the name Flavobacterium lacus. RNAcentral describes it as "Flavo-1 RNA". The record is from RNAcentral. Lineage: Bacteria; Pseudomonadati; Bacteroidota; Flavobacteriia; Flavobacteriales; Flavobacteriaceae.
UUCUAGCACUCAACCCGCAUGAGGGAUUGAAGAGGAAAGCCCACAGAGAAGCCCGAGCUUGCGUAGCCGGGACGAGGACUUGGAACGAAAAGCCCGAACCUUG